CCUACGGGGUGCAGCAGUGGGGAAUAUUGGACAAUGGGCGAAAGCCUGAUCCAGCCAUGCCGCGUGUGUGAAGAAGGCCUUCGGGUUGUAAAGCACUUUCAGUGGGGAAGAAAGCCUUGGGGCUAAUACCCUCGAGGAAGGACAUCACCCACAGAAGAAGCACCGGCUAACUCCGUGCCAGCAGCCGCGGUAAUACGGAGGGUGCGAGCGUUAAUCGGAAUUACUGGGCGUAAAGCGCGCGUAGGCGGUCUGAUAAGCCGGUUGUGAAAGCCCCGGGCUCAACCUGGGAACGGCAUCCGGAACUGUCAGGCUAGAGUGCAGGAGAGGAAGGUAGAAUUCCCGGUGUAGCGGUGAAAUGCGUAGAGAUCGGGAGGAAUACCAGUGGCGAAGGCGGCCUUCUGGACUGACACUGACGCUGAGGUGCGAAAGCGUGGGUAGCAAACAGGAUUACAUACCCCAGUAGUC
RNAcentral lists this ribosomal RNA (465 nucleotides) under Vreelandella stevensii. RNAcentral's name for it is "partial 16S ribosomal RNA". It matches the Rfam family "Bacterial small subunit ribosomal RNA", at positions 338 to 795 of the family's 1533-position model. The record is from RNAcentral. Lineage: Bacteria; Pseudomonadati; Pseudomonadota; Gammaproteobacteria; Oceanospirillales; Halomonadaceae.